GGCUUUUCUACCUCAGGAAUAGAUUACCUUAGCUGUAUUUGGUAAAACUUUUAGGAAUUUUUGGUGCUCAAUGCUCUUCAACUUCGUACUUUAUUUGGCCUUUUAAACAUUUUUUAAUUCGAGCGUCACUGAUGAGUCUUAUGUAGACGAAACGCGCGUCUGGCGUAAAUAUAAAAUUUUAAUCCUGGUAUCUAUGAUGAGUUUAUUUGCAACCACUGG
This 219-nucleotide long non-coding RNA is filed under the name Mytilus galloprovincialis (Mediterranean mussel). The record is from RNAcentral. Lineage: Eukaryota; Metazoa; Mollusca; Bivalvia; Mytilida; Mytilidae.